Long non-coding RNA from Corapipo altera (White-ruffed manakin), 5834 nucleotides. RefSeq lists it as uncharacterized. The transcript has 6 exons. Lineage: Eukaryota; Metazoa; Chordata; Aves; Passeriformes; Pipridae. The record is from RefSeq and is a predicted model, not a curated record.
UGGAAGUUAUUCUGGAAAACGGGGAAGUCGGAAUCCUUAGAGGAGCUGCCAACGUGCAUUUGCCUGAGUUCCUUCAGCAGUGGGGAAGAGAGGGAGAAUUCCAGACACGUCAUCCUGAUUUCACAGGCCUGCAGAGAUGUCCAGAGUGGCCUGAUCCAUCUGUGGGAGGAACAAAGCUGUGGGAUCACAGGAGAUGUGGGAGCUCAGUGCUCCCUGGUCCAGAGAGCAAGUGGGAUGGUGGGAAUUAUUAGAGAAGAAAUAGAGGAAAACCACAAAAGGCUUCUUGAUACCACUCUAAACCCAUCCCAUAUCUGUGAGGUUGCUCACAGAGCAAAACCUCCCUGCAGGAUCUGUUUUGUAAAUCUGCCAAAAGGUGAAGACAAACACUUUAUCUGCGAGGGAAUAUUCAUUUAUGGGGCUUCAGUGGUGACAUAGAUUUGAAAAAAGGAAAAUAAUCUUAAAUCCUUCCUCAGGAGAGAGAUUUACUCACAGUUCUAUUCAGUGGGAUUGCUUUGAGUCUGGGAGUUCUCAGCUCAUGAAGAACUUCCUGGCUGAGGGGAUAAAGACAUUAAAGCCUUUGCCCACUCAGGGCAAUUGCUCUGGAGACAAACACAGUUCAGAAAACAAACGUUCUGAGCUACCUGGAAGUUCUGGUUCACUAAACACAUGAAGAGCCAGAGAUCCUUCUGAACCUGCAAGUGAAAUUUAUUCUCAAGGUGAUGCUCGAGCUCAUUAUCUGCUCCUCUUUCUAAAUGUAAAGUAAGGAGUGAAAGGCCCAAGUAUUCCAUAUAUAACAGCUGACAUGUUCCCUGCAUUCCUGUGUUUGCCUAGGAAGUCAUGGAUAAUCAAUUUGAUGUGCAAAAUACACUGCAGGGAUGAAUUCUGAGCCACAGCACUUGCCAUGCCUGUGCUGUUCUGAGAGACAGAAACUUCCAGGAAAGGAACACCAGUGAAAACCUUCCUGAUCAUUCUCCCAUCAGGUUUUUUUUUCCAAGGAUGUGUCUGGAGGUGGAUUCUCUAGACAGUGUUUGGGUUUUUUCUACCCCUUGAGUGGCUGGUUCUGUGUGUGUCAGUUAUUUUCUCACUGUUUUUCUUCCUGUAUUAGAAAUCAAAAUUACUUCAUCAGGGUAUACAUAUAUUUAUAUAUAUAUAUAAAUAAUCACUAUAAUCCCAACUAGGAAAAGCUAACCUGAAACAUUUACUUUUCAGAUUUAUUAUUUAAAUAUAUGUUUGAAAUAAUUAAAACAAUUCCCUACAUGUAUUACAAAUAACUUCCCAUCUUAUUACUGUGGGGAAGCAGAACAGGCAGGAAGCAGCAGCAGACAGAUGUGAUUGUAACAGAGGUUCUCAUUUAAUUAAUAAUAGAUUGGUUGUAAUGAGACUUAUGGUCUUCAUAAACUCCUAGAAUGUUUUUAACACAACCAAAGUAAGUAAGUUUAAAGUCUGAUUUAUUAGUCUUAACCCUCUCAGAUAAUUUUUUGCCUUGUUUAUUUUCGAGGACAAACCCCAACAUUUAUCUUAUUUUGAGAGAUUUUCCCACAAACCAGAGUAUCUACGGUUCUAGCAAGAAAAAAAAAGGGAAAUUUGCAUGGAUAAAAAAAGAUUGAGUAACAAUCCUGAUGGUGUGGAAAAACUGAGGUGGCAAAAUAUCUGGAGCCUCAUCUUGAAGAGCCUUGGAAGGGCCAAAAAGGUUCUUCCUUUUCCAGGUCACUGCCAGGUUUUAGAAGAUACAAUUUUUCAGCAUCUAAAGCAGGAAAUCCCAGUUAUUUUCCAUGAGAAGAAGCACAGGGAUGACAGGGCUUCCCCCCAGAACACUCCCUGGGUAAUUGCUGAAGACAUUCCAAGCCACUCUAACAAAGUGCACUGUCUGCCAGUCAUUCUGUUCUCCUUGGAAGACCAUCUGUUGCACUUCAAAUAUGUAAAGGUCUGCUAUCAUUUAUUGCUCCAAACAAAUCCACUCCUUUGUCUCAUGGGCUGGAGCUCCUGAAUGGGGACUAGAGGUGGUUUUGGUCACGGAGGGCAGGAUAUUCAGGAGAUUCCCUUUUGUUGCUCUGUAAGUGAAAGGUGCUCACUCAGCUCAAAUUUCAGAGCACAAACAGUGAUUAAACUGACUUCAGUGCUUUUGAAUAAUUUCAAUUUAUUUGGCAACAAAUCGUGAACAACAACAACAACAAUCUGAACUGUAGUUUCUGUUAACUCAGCCAGAAGCACAUUGUAAGAUUUUUGCUUCUGGUGAACAAACCUUUCCAUUGUAGUGGUAUCCAGACUUGAUACACACUGACAUUUGAAUUAACAUUAUGUUAUUUUAACUAAAUUGCUUAAUUAGCUUAUUUGUGGCUGAAACUAGUGAUUCAAAGAAACUUUCAGCAGUGAAAAAUAGGGUCAGCAGCUCAAAAUGCAAGAACCUUUCUUCUGGUAGGUAAACACAUCCUUUACAGGGAUGUAACACUUGCCUGUACAGUCUUUAUUUAUGAGUUAACUGGGAUCCUUUCCAUGAAUUAAAUGAGCAAGAUCAGGCAUUAAAUGAUGAUUUCUCUUUGUUUUUCCUGCUGCAGAUUUUAAAGAGGCUGUACAACCCCUCCUCUCAGAUUGGAGAACAUAAGCAUUGUAUUUUCACAGCAGAGAAGUUCUGUUCAGAGAUUUCCAGCCAGGGAAACACAUAACAAUUUCUGUGUGAUUAGGGAGUGGUCCUGUCUUUUUCCCUUUUUUUUUUCCUCUGUCCCUUCUCCUCCCUGCAUAGCAGUUAAUGUUCUGGUCAGAAGGAAUAAUAUGUUAGAUCUUGAAUGUCAGUAGCCCCAGAGAUUCUGACAAGACUAUUCAUGUGCAUUCAUACGUCUUAACCAAAGCUGACACUAAAGAGAGCAAGAAUCCUCAUAUUCCUCUUUUUAUUGCUGUGCAUUAAACUCAAAUCUUCUCUUGGAGACCUCUGCUGAAAAAUGACAUAUUCCCCAUUUGAAAAAGGCUUUCUGGCAGGGUCUAAACAAAGCAGCUGGACAUCAACGUGGCCCAGGGCAGAAAGCUCCCACAGUUUGGUUUACACCCCAGUUAUGGACACCUACCAAAUGCUGGGAGAUAAAUCCUGAUGGGAAACAAACAGUAGUGUUUUUGUUGUAAUUUUUAUAAUUUAAAAAUUAACUGGUCUUCUAAUUUCUUGAAAUCUUACAGGAAUGCUUGGAUUCUGGUAACCUGAGGUGGAUGUUUUCUGAGAAACACCCCCUGUGUGAAUGCUCUGCUCUCCCAUUUCCCCCAGACAUGUUUUACACAUACUUCUAGCACAGUUUACAGCACGUGUCUGGGUAAUUUUGCAGUGAUCUGAUCGUGUUGUUAAAGCCAGGUAGGCAAUUUUUACAGCAAUGAUAGUUUUAAUCUUCUUUUUUAUAAUUGUUUGGUAGCAGUGACUAACACAGCCUUGGUGGCUCUGGGCACCUCGCCAUUCUUAGGUAGUUUAAUUUGUUAAAAAUUAUCUUCCCUCCCACCCAAAUCCCCUUGAAACCACUUGGAGAGGAGAAGUGUUGAACAGUUGCCAAUAAUAAGUCCUGCUGAGACCUCUGUAUCCUCCUGAUAGAACUGUUGGUGCCAACCAGGGACUGACUGGCACAGGUUUGAACUCUCCACUGCUUGAUGUAUCUGCCUCACAUGGGCCAAUUACAACAAUUCCCACCUCUGGAGCUGGAGUCGAAGCCCUUGGUCUUCCCUUCAUACCUCAGGUUGUUGGCAAUGUGUUCAGUCCUGCAAUCUCAGUUUUCUCUGAAUAAUUAAGUGGAACAUAAAUACUUUGAAAAAGUAGGAGAGAGUCUGAAUGGAAAUCAAAGGCUGAAUAAUAUCAUUGUUUUUCAUGUUGCUGUUGUUAAGCUGCAUUUCUUUCCAUUUAUUCUUUAUUUCUAAAAGGCAGCAUCUUCUUUUAAGUUUUUUACAGAGAUUCACCAGAAGGUGCUGUAGUCCAUUGGCUGUUAUAUUCAACAGUAUUUUUUAAUGUGAAUGAAAGAGCAAUAGGAAUUCCUACUUUUUUUUUUUUUUAAUGGGUUUAAAAAUAUAAAUAUUCCUCUCAAAAUAAAUACUUUUGACCAAAGUGGAAAAUCAUCCAUCCUUUACUCCUUUUGGCUGGAUGUUUCCAUAAGAAAUAGGGAUAUAACACCAGGAUGAGAGACUGGCAUUAACUACUGAGUUCCUGACAAUUCCAUUGGUUUCAAUCUGAUGCAACAGGGACCAUCUUGCCCUUGCCCCUGUUGUCUUUCCAGGAGAGUAGUUAAUUUUUAAAUUGGAGCAGCUGCAGGUUUUUUUUAACCAGUGAAGUUUCUAUUACACAAAGAUAAACCGAAGAUUGAGCACAAACUGACUUGCCUGUAGCUUUCCUAAUAUGAUUGCACUGCACAGUGUAGAUACUAAAAUUUAUAUUAAAAAUUCUCCAUGCAGUUUCCCUCUAGGGAGAGGAAGAGGGAAGGGAAAGGCUACAUGUGACAGAUGCUAAUUAUGCAGCUUAAUGCACUUCUGGAAGUUGCAGAGAUGAGAACUCUGUAAAAACCCAUCCACAAAACAAAGCCUAUUUUCAACAGCGUUUUUUUCCACAAUGCUUUGUUUUCAUCUGCCUCCUCCCUGUUUUCCAGGAGGCUUUAUUUCCCAAAGAGCACGUACAGUAUUCAAAGGGCAAGUGAUGUCCAAGGUCCAAAAUUUUCCAAGCAUGGAUGUGAGUGUUCUCCAUCGUGUCUUCCUGCUCUGUACAUGGAAUUGGGAAAGCUGGUGGCUCCCAGUCAGGACAGCCUGGGAUUGCUCCUUCAGGACUGGUGACUUCCCAACCUCUCUCCACGAGGGACGAUAAUCGCGCUGACGACGGCAGCGGCGCCGGAACUUCCGAGGUCUUGGUGUGGCCCUGGGCAGCCUUGGAGGAGCAUGUUUGGAAUGAGUCCUCCUCUUGCCAUGGUCCUCAUGUGCAGCCACCACGGAGAAAACCAUCUGUUCCCCUCGGAAGGGGGUUUGGUUCCCCAUGCCCUCCCCCGAUCCCACUCCGUCCCCAGCUGCCGUGUUUCACUGAGCAGCGAGGGAACGAAUCCCCGGCGUUAAAAAUACUCUGGGUCUAUUUAGAUGAAAAGAAGAAUCUUGCUUGCCUACACUGCCAUGCAAAAAUAGGCUCAGUGUGAGUAAAUCUUCAAAGUUUCUUUCGGUGAAAAUACCCAGCCUGGCUUUUUUUUUUUUUUUUUUUUUUUAACUUAUAUGAUAAGUUUAUUUAUAGAGUGUCCUUCUUUCCUCCUACUCCAUCAAGACAUUUGCAGGAGGUUGUCGCUCGUCUUGUUCAGGAGUCCUGAAAUAAUUUGCAGGGCCUUUGAAACAUCAUCAUGUUGCACAGUUGUGAUGCAUCGUGCUGCUGUUGCACCAACGUAUCAUAUUUUAGUGUGAAUGUCACGUUAACUGAGACAUUCAGGCCUUCCUUUUACUCCAGGUGCCUUACACUGGUUUGUAUUUUCAUUUUAACUCCGCAGUCAAAAAAUUCUGUGUAUAUAUAGUAACUUAAAAUUUUCCAUUCUACACACAAGGCAUUGCAUAGAAAAUUAAUGUGUAAUAUGAGAAGAUUAACAGGAUGCAUAUACUUUCCAAAUAUCUCUUAAAAAUAGCUUUCACUGUCACUGUAGCAUCUUAAUUCUGAAUAAUCUCACAGUCCUUCUGCAAAUCUGUGCAUAUAGUAACAGAGUAACCACCUACUUCAUCCUCUUGAACUGCACAAUAUGUAUCUGGGCAUGAAAAAAACCUUCAUUUUGGAGUAUGUUCUGCUUUGGCAGAGAGGAUGGCUGUGGGACUAGUGAGAGCACUAAUGCCUGCAUUAAAUAUUAAUGCCAGCAUUC